UACGAAGGUGGCUAGCGUUGUUCGGAUUUAUUGGGCGUAAAGGGUCCGCAGGCGGUUUGGAAAGUCGGAUGUGAAACCCCACAGCUUAACUGUGGACACGCAUUUGAAACUUCCAGACUAGAGUGUGAGAGGGGUGAAUGGAAUUUCCAGUGUAGGGGUGAAAUCCGUAGAUAUUGGAAAGAACACCGGCCGCGAAGGCGAUUCACUGGCUCAUUACUGACGCUCAGGGACGAAAGCCAGGGGAGCAAACGGG
RNAcentral lists this ribosomal RNA (253 nucleotides) under uncultured bacterium. Its description in RNAcentral is "partial 16S ribosomal RNA". It matches the Rfam family "Bacterial small subunit ribosomal RNA", at positions 524 to 776 of the family's 1533-position model. The record is from RNAcentral.